RNAcentral lists this ribosomal RNA (507 nucleotides) under uncultured Glomus. RNAcentral describes it as "SSU rRNA". It matches the Rfam family "Eukaryotic small subunit ribosomal RNA", at positions 569 to 1077 of the family's 1831-position model. The record is from RNAcentral. Lineage: Eukaryota; Fungi; Glomeromycota; Glomeromycetes; Glomerales; Glomeraceae.
AGCAGCCGCGGUAAUUCCAGCUCCAAUAGCGUAUAUUAAAGUUGUUGCAGUUAAAAAGCUCGUAGUUGAAUUUCGGGGUUAGUAGGCUGGUCAUGCCUCUGGUAUGUACUGGUCUCACUGAUUCCUCCUUCCUGAUGAACCGUAAUGCCAUUAAUUUGGUGUUGCGGGGAAUUUGGACUGUUACUUUGAAAAAAUUAGAGUGUUUAAAGCAAGCUAACGCUUGAAUACAUUAGCAUGGAAUAAUGAAAUAGGACGUUCGAUCCUAUUUUGUUGGUUUCUAGGAUUGACGUAAUGAUUAAUAGGGAUAGUUGGGGGCAUUAGUAUUCAAUUGUCAGAGGUGAAAUUCUUGGAUUUAUUGAAGACUAACUACUGCGAAAGCAUUUGCCAAGGAUGUUUUCAUUAAUCAAGAACGAAAGUUAGGGGAUCGAAGACGAUCAGAUACCGUCGUAGUCUUAACCAUAAACUAUGCCGACUAGGGAUCGGAUGAUGUUAAUUUUUUAAUGACUC